CCUACGGGAGGCAGCAGCUAAGAAUCUUCCGCAAUGGGCGCAAGCCUGACGGAGCGACGCCGCGUGUGUGAUGAAGGCCGUGAGGUUGUAAAGCACUUUUGUCACUGAAGAAUAAGGGCAGUAGGGAAUGACUGCUUGAUGACGUUAGGUGACGAAUAAGCCCCGGCUAAUUACGUGCCAGCAGCCGCGGUAACACGUAAGGGGCAAGCGUUGUUCGGAUUUAUUGGGCGUAAAGGGCGUGUAGGCGGUUUGCCAAGCCUGAUGUGAAAGACCCCGGCUUAACCGGGGGAACGCGUUGGGAACUGGUAGACUAGAGUGUAAGAGGGGUAGUUGGAAUUCCAGGUGUAGGGGUGAAAUCUGUAGAUAUCUGGAAGAACACCGGUGGCGAAGGCGAACUACUGGCUAUACACUGACGCUGAGGCGCGAAAGUGUGGGGAGCGAACAGGAUUAGAUACCCUGGUAGUCCACACUGUAAACGAUGUGCACUAGGUGUUGGGGGGAUACCCUCAGUGCCGUAGCAAACGCGUUAAGUGCACCGCCUGGGGAGUAUGCUCGCAAGGGUGAAACUCAAAUGAAUUGACGA
RNAcentral lists this ribosomal RNA (583 nucleotides) under uncultured bacterium. RNAcentral describes it as "bacterial SSU rRNA". It matches the Rfam family "Bacterial small subunit ribosomal RNA", at positions 338 to 916 of the family's 1533-position model. The record is from RNAcentral.